CAAGAAAAUGUACCAUCGUAUAACUAAUGUUCACAUUGUUCCAUCAAUUGUAAAUUGUCGGUAGUAAAGAUUAAAAACCGGUCUAUGUUAUUUUCGUAAUCAAUACUUAAUAUUCAAUACUCAAUAUUUUAAAAAAAGCUCCCCAGCCGUAAUUUUUGUGCAAUUAUCUGGUAAUUUGAGUUCAGUUACUGAUUUUGUGUCUGUAGGAGCUGAUCUUUUAAUUUUUCUAACUCGUUGAAUUGUUCGUUUUAAUCCUGUUGUACUCGAAAAUUGGCCUGCUAUGUUGAAAGAGGUCUAAAACAAUAAACUAA
Non-coding RNA from Cinara cedri, 311 nucleotides. The record is from the annotation of a GenBank genome assembly. NCBI's taxonomy places the organism in Eukaryota, Metazoa, Arthropoda, Insecta, Hemiptera, Aphididae.